CAAAGUGGGAACAGAGAGACUGCUGAGAGGUGACUGUGAUUGGGCAGAGAUUUGGACCAGGAGAGAGCAUGAGAGGAUGCUGGACCAUGCUGCCAUUCUGGGGGAAAGGUGGAGUGUGAAAUGAGCUGACAGAAGAGACCAACAUGGAGAGCCUCACCCCCACGGCCCACAGCAGACACAUCACAGAGUUACCAGGAAUUCCAGAAAGGAAGUCAAGUGAUGAAAGACUGAAGGAUGGGAACCCUGGGAGGACUGCUCCCUAAGGGAAGCUGGGUGGAAAGUUCUCACGGAGUCCAGCCCCGUUCCGCCUGCUCUGCCCUGGGGGUCUCCCAGCCCCUGUCCCUCCGCGAAUUGAGGAGCGGUCCUAAUUGCCAGUUGCCUUAAAGAGUUUGGGGAAACUGAAGACUGGGGUCCUUUAUAGGCAGGUUCUGGAUCAAGAGGGGUGGGGAGAGGCCCUGCAUUUGGAUUCCUGAAAUCCACAGAAAACCCUGCCCUUACACUACUUUAUUUUAAAGGUUUUGUUUUUUUUUAAAUUACAAAAGUAAAACAAGCGUGCUGUAAAAAUAGCAUAAACAUGUACAGUGCAUAGGCUGGGCUCGGUGGCUCAUGUCUGUAAUCUCAGCACUUUGGGAGGCCGAGGAAAGUGGAUCACGAGGUCAGGAGUUCAAGACCAACCUGGCCAAGAUGGUGAAACCCUGUCUCUACUAAAAAUACAAAAAUUAGCCGGGCAUGGUGGCAGUCACCUGUAAUCCCAGAUACUCGGGAGGCUGAGGCAGGAGAAUCGCUUGAACCCGGGGGUGGAGGUUGCAGUGAGCCAAGAUCGUGCCACUGCACUGCACUCCAGCCUGGGCGACAGAAUGAUACUCCAUCUCAGGAAACAAACAAACAAACAAACAAACAAACAAAAACCAUAUACAGUGCAUAAAGAAAAAGGCAGAAGUCCUUCUCCAGGUGGCCUCCCUGCCCAAAUCUGCUCCUCAGGGUGGGCCCUGAGGCUGCUGGAGUCUCCUGUGCUGGGGAGCCCUCCACGCUGCCUCCCUCCAGGCCUUUAAUCCAGUCUUGAGGUGCCCGAAUCUCUGUUUUGUACACCUGCACACCUUCUAGUGGGGGUACUUUGCAAACUCAAUGUGAGGACAAGCAGAUGGAAUGGCAAGUGGCAGGUGUGGCCUAAGGUAUCCUCCCAUCGGGCUCCCCCACCCUUGGAAAUUAGGAUCUUAAAUUUUGGUCCUGACCAAGUCCCACUAAAACUUGGCUACUAGGUUGGUUUUCCAAUUCCAGGGCCAAAAGGAAACUGGGAACAAUGCUACCUACUAGCAAAAGAAAAAAAACCAAAUUUGUUAGAACAGUGACCCUAACUAGUCAAAGGCAGUGCUUUCACCUAGAGGUAAUAAUAAUAACCACUUCUGGGAGCCCUUAUUGAAGGCUGGGCUUUGCUUUAAGAGUGAGGACUGCUAAUAUUUCUCUUUUCUAGAUGAGGACACUGGUGCUCAGGGAGAUUCACUGCAGGAGGCAGGAGAGUGCAGUGGUGAGGAGCUCAGGCUCUGCGGCCCGACCACCUGGUCAUCCAUCCUGGUUCUGCUGCUUAUCAGCUGUGUGACCUCAGACUUACAUUAUGGAGUCUCUCAUGACUUGGUUUCCUCUCUAGUAAAAUGGGGAUGAUGACAGUGUCUCCCUCCAAGGGGGGUGGUGAUUAAAUGAGUUACUAUGUGGCUGGGCAUUGUGGCUCAUGCCUGUAAUUGCAGCACUUUGGGAGGCUGCAGCAGGAGGAUCACUUGAGCCAGGAGUUUGAGGUUACAGGGAGCUAUAAUCGCACCACUGUGUUCCAGCCUGGGUGACAGAGUGAGACCUUGUCUCAAAAAAAAAAAAAAAAGAGUAUGUGUCAAGUGCCUGGCACAGAGAAGAUGCUCAAUAAAUAUGAGAACUGGGAUUAAAUUAUGGGCCUAAGUCUCAGCUAGUGGCUGAUGGAGAAGGCAUCUGAAUCCAGGUCUGAUGUGGUUGAGGGUCAAGGGCUUACCCGCUAUGUAGUGCUGUCUCCCUAGAGCCUGCCGGCUCUCAACUCCUCUCCCACCUUCAAGGCCUAGAUCCUCGGGAGUCCCAGCUGUCACUGAUGUGAGGAUGACACGUGUCUCCUCUGAAGAACCAAUGAUUCCUGGUGAGUCAUGGGAGGCAGAGAAGACUCUUGGACUUUUGGCAGAAGAUGGUUAGCCCUGGGCCUUUCUCCUCGGAGGAAAGCCUGUAAGUCCCUUGCCCUGAUGGGUGCUUGGCAGGGAGGAUGGGGGAUUCCCUAUCUUUCUAGGGAUACCCUAAACUCAAGUACCCUCAUUAUGAUACAGGAUCUGACGCAAGCAUAGGGGAAGUGUGGCUGCCUCCUAAGGGUGGAAAUAGCAAUGAAGGAGGCUGUCAAACAUGAUUUGCUGGAGUGGUGAUGUCCAACCUGAGUCUUCAAAGAUGGGGGGAAGUUAUGAAGGGAGGGGAAGGACAUUCUGGGCAGAGGGCACAAUUUGAGCAGAGAGGCUAGACAUGGUAUCUGAGAAGGAUCAAGUCUGAAGAAAGAAGCAGCAAAAGAUGAGGCUGCAGAGGUCAACAGUGGUCAGAAUUUGGAAAUCUUUGUAUAAUCUGCUGAAAUGCUUGGACUUUUUUUGAUCGAAAAUAGGGAGCCAAUGAAGAGUUACAGAGGAGAUAACAAUGGUAAAGUUUUG
This 2699-nucleotide long non-coding RNA is filed under the name Homo sapiens (human). Its description in RNAcentral is "HSALNT0231682". Lineage: Eukaryota; Metazoa; Chordata; Mammalia; Primates; Hominidae. The record is from RNAcentral.